Non-coding RNA from Salmo salar (Atlantic salmon), 986 nucleotides. NCBI's taxonomy places the organism in Eukaryota, Metazoa, Chordata, Actinopteri, Salmoniformes, Salmonidae. The record is from RefSeq and is a predicted model, not a curated record.
CAGAAUUUGUGGGGGCUGAUUUGUAAACCCCUACUACUAAGACCACUUUUUUUAGUUCCGUUCUGUUAGGUUGCGUCAAUCAAAUCUGGUAUCAGAACAGAAUUUAACACUAAGUCACUGAAUAUAUUCUCUGCUUUUUUAUUCAAUUGAAUUAGUCAAGCGAAUAAAUGGUAAAUGCAAUCUUAGUAUAUACGGAUUCACUGUAACACCUCGCAGGGCAAACAGAGAACUAACUGUUCACACACAAAGUUAUUUAAUACACCUUAUUCCCUUUAUAGUGGUCCCGUGUGGCUCAGUUGGUAGAGCAUGGUGUUCGCAAUGCCAGGGUUGUGGGUUCGAUUCCCACGUGGGACCAGUACGAAAAGAAAAAAAAAAGGUAUGAAAAGAAAAAAAUAAUGUAUGAAAUGUAUGCAUUCACUACUGUAAGUCGCUCUGGAUAAGAGCGUCUGCUAAAUGACUAAAAUGUAAUAGUGCUCUACUUUUGACCAGGGUCCGUAGGCUCUGGUCAAAGCAGUGCACUUUAUAGGGAAGAGGGUGCCAUGACAGUGACACUAACAAAAUCUGUAUCGAAACAAAGAUAGCUGGGAAGAAGUUGUUACAUUCAAAGCUUUGGCAAUUAAGGGAAAUAAAAUUACAAGACAUUACAAGACAUUGCAGACCCUCAGGAGAGAUAAUUGUUGUCUUAAAAGUAUGUUAUUUAUUUAUUUAUUACAAGAAACAAAACACUGAUUUAACCCAUUUUAGCUUCUUAUUUACCUAUAUGAGUAAAUAGACAAUUGAUUCAUACAUUCCUGAUCUUUCCCACAUUGUAACAUUUUGGAUGGAGAUGAAGAAACAUCUCGGUAAAAGCUCAAUGAGAAUAUCAUGACCUAAAGGAUGAGCAUGGAAUUAGAAACAGCAUCCAAAUGGGAUAAGUCUGCACAGACCAAUAUAUUAACAACUGUCAAUGAAAUUGUCUUCACAUCAUUCAAGCUAUGAAGGGGAAG